This 253-nucleotide ribosomal RNA is filed under the name uncultured bacterium. RNAcentral's name for it is "partial 16S ribosomal RNA". It matches the Rfam family "Bacterial small subunit ribosomal RNA", at positions 524 to 776 of the family's 1533-position model. The record is from RNAcentral.
UACAGAGGGGGCAAGCGUUAUUCGGAAUUAUUGGGCGUAAAGGGCGCGUAGGCGGCAUGGCAAGUGGAAGGUGAAAUUCCUGGGCUUAACCUGGGGACUGCGCUUGAGACGGGUGUGCUGGAGGGCAGGAGAGGCUCGCGGAAUUCCCAGUGUAGAGGUGAAAUUCGUAGAUAUUGGGAAGAACACCGGUGGCGAAGGCGGCGAGCUGGCCUGUACCUGACGCUGAGGCGCGACAGCGUGGGGAGCAAACAGG